UGCCAGCCGCCGCGGUAAUACGGAGGGUGCAAGCGUUGUUCGGAAUUACUGGGCGUAAAGCGCGUGUAGGCGGCUUGAUCAGUCGGAUGUGAAAGCCCUCGGCUCAACCGGGGAAGUGCAUUCGAUACUGUCAAGCUUGAGUACCGGAGAGGAACGGGGAAUUCCCGGUGUAGAGGUGAAAUUCGUAGAUAUCGGGAGGAACACCGGCGGCGAAGGCGCCGUUCUGGACGGAUACUGACGCUGAGACGCGAAAGCGUGGGGAGCAAACAGGAUUAGAUA
Molecule: ribosomal RNA, 279 nt
Filed under: uncultured bacterium
Lineage: Bacteria
Description: partial 16S ribosomal RNA
Rfam family: Bacterial small subunit ribosomal RNA
Source: RNAcentral